Molecule: ribosomal RNA, 438 nt
Filed under: uncultured bacterium
Lineage: Bacteria
Description: bacterial SSU rRNA
Rfam family: Bacterial small subunit ribosomal RNA
Source: RNAcentral
AACGCGAAGAACCUUACCCAGGCUUGACAUCCUCUGACACCCGUGGAAAUACGGUCUUCAUAGCAAUAUGACAGAGAGACAGGUGCUGCAUGGCUGUCGUCAGCUCGUGCCGUGAGGUGUUGGGUUAAGUCCCGCAACGAGCGCAACCCUCGUCGUGUGUUGGUCCGCAAGGAUCUCUCACGCGAGACCGCCGGUGAGAAGCCGGAGGAAGGUGGGGAUGACGUCAAGUCAGCAUGGCCCUUACGUCUGGGGCUACACACGUGCUACAAUGGGUGCGACAACGAGUUCCAAGCUCGCGAGGGUAAGGCAAUCUCUUAAACGCAUCCUCAGUUCGGAUUGAAGGCUGCAACUCGCCUUCAUGAAGUCGGAAUCGCUAGUAAACGCAGAUCAGCUACGCUGCGUUGAAUACGUUCCCGGGCCUUGUACACACCGAGUAUA